Molecule: ribosomal RNA, 497 nt
Filed under: uncultured bacterium
Lineage: Bacteria
Description: partial 16S ribosomal RNA
Rfam family: Bacterial small subunit ribosomal RNA
Source: RNAcentral
GAUGAACGCUGGCGGCGUGCCUAAUACAUGCAAGUCGAGCGAACAGACGAGGAGCUUGCUCCUCUGACGUUAGCGGCGGACGGGUGAGUAACACGUGGAUAACCUACCUAUAAGACUGGGAUAACUUCGGGAAACCGGAGCUAAUACCGGAUAAUAUAUUGAACCGCAUGGUUCAAUAGUGAAAGACGGUUUUGCUGUUACUUAUAGAUGGAUCCGCGCUGCAUUAGCUAGUUGGUAAGGUAACGGCUUACCAAGGCAACGAUGCGUAGCCGACCUGAGAGGGUAAUCGGAAACACUGAAACUGAAAAGCGAUCCAGACUCCAAAGGGAGGCAGCAGAAGGGAAAGUUACACAAUGGGCAGAGGCCUGACGGGAAACAGCCACGUGAGUGAAAAGAUGAUUCGGAUCUUGAAACUAAGUUAUUGGGAAAGAACAAAUAUAUAAGUAACAUGGCACGUCUUGACGGUACCUAAUCAAAAAGCAACGGCUAACUACGUG